UCGUAACAAGAAACCGAAGACCUUUAAUUUCCGGAUCGCAGAUCGGAGGUCGUUCGGUGGUCGCGCGUGAAUAGGGUCGAGCCGAGCGGCGUGCGCCGCGGGACGCCGAUUGCGAGUGACGACGAGCAAUCGGAAUGCUGUAAAAGGUGGGUGGUGACCAUCCCGAAGCAGUUGAACUGCUCCCUAUGUCUAAGGAUUAUG
Molecule: long non-coding RNA, 201 nt
Filed under: Ananas comosus (pineapple)
Lineage: Eukaryota; Viridiplantae; Streptophyta; Magnoliopsida; Poales; Bromeliaceae
Description: long non-coding RNA (ACOM_LNC021284)
Source: RNAcentral